GCACAAUGGGGGAAACCCUGAUGCAGCCAUGCCGCGUGUGUGAAGAAGGCCUUACGGGUUGUAAAGCACUUUCAGUAGGGAGGAAGGUAGUGUAGUUAACACCUGCAUUAUUUGACGUUACCUACAGAAGAAGCACCGGCUAACUCCGUGCCAGCAGCCGCGGUAAUACGGAGGGUGCGAGCGUUAAUCGGAAUUACUGGGCGUAAAGCGCAUGCAGGCGGCCUGUUAAGUCAGAUGUGAAAGCCCGGGGCUUAACCUCGGAAUUGCAUUUGAAACUGGCAGGCUAGAGUACUGUAGAGGGGGUAGAAUUUCAGGUGUAGCGGUGAAAUGCGUAGAGAUCUGAAGGAAUACCGGUGGCGAAGGCGGCCCCCUGGACAGAUACUGACACUCAGAUGCGAAAGCGUGGGGAGCAAACAGGAUUAGAUACCCUGGUAG
This 435-nucleotide ribosomal RNA is filed under the name uncultured bacterium. RNAcentral describes it as "bacterial SSU rRNA". It matches the Rfam family "Bacterial small subunit ribosomal RNA", at positions 366 to 793 of the family's 1533-position model. The record is from RNAcentral.